Molecule: RNA transcript, 2320 nt
Organism: Triticum aestivum (bread wheat)
Lineage: Eukaryota; Viridiplantae; Streptophyta; Magnoliopsida; Poales; Poaceae
Exons: 3
Source: RefSeq, a predicted model, not a curated record
AAGCCACACACACAAUAAAACCCUAGCCGCCGCCCUCACGGGCUCACCCAUCAUUAGUUUAAGUGUGAGGCAGCGGCGUGCAUCGGCGCCGGAGGCGUGCGCUCACCCCGCCUCUCCGCUCGUCCCGCUCGCCGCGGCCGAUGACCGCACCACCCGAGACCGCGGCCACCCGAAAAAACGGCGGCGAUGAGGAGGCCCGGCCCUUGGCGCAGACCCGCGCCCCCGAGCGGCGGCAGCGUCGGAUCCGGCUGCCUCGCGGGGCCAGCCCUCCCGUCCGCGCCGCGCCGCGUCGCCGCCGGCAUGGAGGCCCCUGCUCGGGCAGCCUCCGCGGCGUCGUCGGCGUCGCUGCGGCGGCGGGGUCUUUGGGUACCGCGUGGCGGGGGACCGGCGCGGCUUCCGGUCGAGGGUUCUGGCGACGCCAAGCCGUAGAUCUGAGCCGCCGUCCGCACCUCGUUUCCUCCAUGUUUCGAUCUGGUACCCCACCCCCACCACCUCAUCUGUAAAUGCAGUGAUUGGGGUCGAUCGCUCGCUGGUCCAGAUCAGGGUGCGCCGCCUCCCACCAGUUCAUCCACACCCUUUCUUUUCGCGAAAAUCCCUGCCUACUGUAACCAUUCGGAUUAUAUAAACGAGGGAGAAAAGAGGCUCCAGAAGUUCUUAUAACCCAGCUCAAGUGGUUUCAAGCAUUGCUUGGUGCAUCUAUAUGUAAGAAUUCACGGAUCAUGGAGUAUCAGUUAGAGCUGGAUUUAAAUUCCUUCAUGAGCCCCAGCAUAAAGAGUGAUAAAAAAUUGAUCUGGUGAUGGAGACACUGGGGUAAGGGUCGUAUGAUCGUGCAACGACGAAUCUGAGGCCACUCAAAUGCAGAUCUGGUCUCAAGCACAUUGUACCAUGUUGUUGCCGUUCUGUAUUUGUGUUUCGUGCAUCUUUGAUUUGCAGGAUUUUAAGAACACAUCGAAGGAGAUAGCAUACUCUUUGUUGGUUCAUCAUAUAUCAUAUGAUUUUGCAUGUAGACGUCACUAUUGAUUGAUGCUCUGCAAGAUUCUGAUUCCACCUUAAGUUUCUAUGGAUGACCACAAAUUCUUACGGAUCCUGUAUGCCAAACAAUACCUUUCCUUUUUUGGUUGAUGUAAAAAAAAUAUUGUUUGUAUUGCUAUUGCUUGAUGUUCUGCAAGAUUCUGGUUACUUCUAAUUUUUUGGGUACUAUUUUGGCUGUUGCUUGGUCAUUUGAUCUUUCCUUCCUAGUUCUACUCACUGUUUAUUGUUUGUGAUCAUUUUGCUACUCUCCGGAGAUACUUUUGGUUUAUCUUCUCUUAAGUUUUUUUCCUUAGUAUAAUAUAAUCUCUUUAUGAGCAAGUUGCACUUUGUUACACUAGGAAGACUUGCGUUCAGAAAUGUAUUGGUUGGAUGACUUGUUUUAAUUAGUUUCCAUACUAUGUUUAUUUGUUUCCUACAAGUUGCCAGUUGCAGCUAUUUGUUCUCGCGUGCUACAAAAUAACGAUGCUACUGUUUUUUUAGUACUGGAUUGUUAAUGUAAAGAGUGACUGAGGUAGCAUGUCGCAUGUUGCUGUUUGUAACCAUAAGCAACGUGUUGACACUUGACAGCUUUGAUAGAGUGGCUGGGUUAAUCUGUGCCAUCAAGGUGAUAUUUCCUUAUUGCUUUCUUUUGUUCGUUGCGAAGAUUUUCCCAAUUUUGUCUGUUUGCCACUGAUUUUUUUUGGAUCAUGCACUAGACAAAAGGUUGGUGAACUUUGAAGGAUAUGUGUUUUUACUAGCUUCUAAACUUCUUUUUUUUGCUAAGCAAAGCAUUUGGGGUAAUUAUGUGUUGUCGCAGCUUUCUCUUUACAUAUAUAAUUUUGCAUUGCUUUGUCUUGCACUCUUCCUGGUUAGCUUAUAACAGUCGCGGCCUUUGCCCAUUUAGACGUACUCCCUCCAUCCGAAAAAUAUAAGAGUGUUUUUGACACUCUUAUAUUAUGGCUAAGCAAAGCCUUUGGGGUAAUUAUGUGUAGUGUAAAAAAUGCUCUUAUAUUAUGGGAUGGAGGGAGUAGUAACUAUUUAAACAUCAGAAUUCAGUAUGAUUUUGGUUACCACCACAAGUUUGUCUAUUGACAAAACAUGGUCCGGGAAGGCCACAUCUUUCUGUAGAAGCCCAUCUUGUCUGCUAUGUGGUAAUGAUCGCUAGCUAUUUUAGUUGUGAAAUUGUGCUUUUGUAAGCCGGAGAUCACCACCUCACCGUCAGUGGCGGAGCGUUACCAACAAAUAUUGGAACCUUGUUUGCAUCAUCAUCUUUAUCAUCUUCGUCACUGCCUCAGUUACCAUCCUCUUU